RNAcentral lists this ribosomal RNA (253 nucleotides) under uncultured bacterium. RNAcentral describes it as "partial 16S ribosomal RNA". It matches the Rfam family "Bacterial small subunit ribosomal RNA", at positions 524 to 776 of the family's 1533-position model. The record is from RNAcentral.
UACGAAGGGGGCGAGCGUUGUUCGGAUUUACUGGGCGUAAAGGGCGCGCAGGCGGCGCAUUUUGUCAGGCGUGAAAGCCCCGGGCUUAACCUGGGAACUGCGUUUGAUACGGAUGGGCUAGAGUUCGGGAGAGGUGAGUGGAACUGCGAGUGUAGAGGUGAAAUUCGUAGAUAUUCGCAAGAACACCAGUGGCGAAGGCGGCUCACUGGCCCGGUACUGACGCUGAGGCACGAAAGCGUGGGGAGCAAACAGG